CACGUCCCCACGGAUGCCCCAAGGACACAGAGAUUCCCUCUGAUGCUCAGCUCUGUGAGAACAGGCAGCUUUUCGAGCACUGCUUGUCCCUGGGAUCUCUGAACAGAAAGCACAGCAACCCAUAGUUAAACAGGCUGCAACAACACAUUCCUCACUGAGCAGGACAUUCCAGAGGUUAGAAGUGACACUUGAAGGAGUGAAACCAAGCAGCCAAGGGGAAACCUGCCACUGCCCCACCAGACUUUGAUCUCCACAUCACUGUGUCCAGGUCGAACUUUAGCACCAUUUGGAAAUGCUUAUGAGUUCCUGUACAGCUGCACAGGCAGAGAAGGG
Long non-coding RNA from Ficedula albicollis (Collared flycatcher), 333 nucleotides. RefSeq lists it as uncharacterized. Lineage: Eukaryota; Metazoa; Chordata; Aves; Passeriformes; Muscicapidae. The record is from RefSeq and is a predicted model, not a curated record. The transcript is spliced from 3 exons.